This 442-nucleotide ribosomal RNA is filed under the name uncultured bacterium. RNAcentral describes it as "partial 16S ribosomal RNA". It matches the Rfam family "Bacterial small subunit ribosomal RNA", at positions 338 to 795 of the family's 1533-position model. The record is from RNAcentral.
CCUACGGGCGGCAGCAGUGGGGAAUAUUGGGCAAUGGGCGCAAGCCUGACCCAGCAACGCCGCGUGAAGGAAGAAGGCUUUCGGGUUGUAAACUUCUUUUAAGGGGGAAGAGCAGAAGACGGUACCCCUUGAAUAAGCCACGGCUAACUACGUGCCAGCAGCCGCGGUAAUACGUAGGUGGCAAGCGUUGUCCGGAUUUAAUGGGUGUAAAGGGCGUGCAGGCGGGAAGACAAGUCAGAUGUGAAAUCCACGGGCUCAACCCGUGAACUGCAUUUGAAACUGUUUCCCUUGAGUGUCGGAGGGGUAAUCGGAAUUCCUUGUGUAGCAGUGAAAUGCGUAGAUAUAAGGAAGAACACCAGUGGCGAAGGCGGAUUACUGGACGAUAACUGACGGUGAGGCGCGAAGGCGUGGGGAGCGAACAGGAUUAGAUACCCUUGUAGUC